AUCCGGCUGAUAAGUCCCAAAUAGAACGAAAUACGCGUCCUGGAU
Schistosoma curassoni is the source of this 45-nucleotide non-coding RNA. NCBI's taxonomy places the organism in Eukaryota, Metazoa, Platyhelminthes, Trematoda, Strigeidida, Schistosomatidae. The record is from Rfam.